RNAcentral lists this long non-coding RNA (339 nucleotides) under Mytilus galloprovincialis (Mediterranean mussel). Lineage: Eukaryota; Metazoa; Mollusca; Bivalvia; Mytilida; Mytilidae. The record is from RNAcentral.
GGGGUUCGUGUUGCUUAUUCUUUAGUUUUCUAUGUUGUGUCAUGUGUUCUAUUGUUUGUUUGUUUGUCUUCUUUCAUUUUUUAGCCAGGCGUUGUCAGUUUAUUUUUCGAUUUAUGAGUUUGACUGUCCCUCUAGUAUCUUUCGUCCCUUUUUUGUUGGUAAUUUUUAUUAUCUUUUGUUUUCUUAUCCCAUCAUUAUCUAUGAUCUAGUACUUAUUCCUCUAUAUUUUCUUUCUUAGCUUAUUUUUCUCUAUUCUUUUUUUUUUGUUCAUUGUUCUCUAUCAUGUAAACUCCAUUAAAACCCACAAUUUAACACUUAUGUACAGACUAGCACAAUGCA